UACAGAGGUCCCAAGCGUUGUUCGGAUUCAUUGGGCGUAAAGGGUGCGUAGGUGGCGCCGUAAGUGGGGUGUGAAAUCUCGGGGCUUAACUCCGAAACUGCAUUCCAUACUGCGGUGCUUGAGGACUGGAGAGGAGACUGGAAUUUACGGUGUAGCAGUGAAAUGCGUAGAGAUCGUAAGGAAGACCAGUGGCGAAGGCGGGUCUCUGGACAGUUCCUGACACUGAGGCACGAAGGCCAGGGGAGCAAACGGG
Molecule: ribosomal RNA, 253 nt
Filed under: uncultured bacterium
Lineage: Bacteria
Description: partial 16S ribosomal RNA
Rfam family: Bacterial small subunit ribosomal RNA
Source: RNAcentral